AGCAGCCGCGGUAAUUCCAGCUCCAAUAGCGUAUAUUAAAGUUGUUGCAGUUAAAAAGCUCGUAGUUGAAUUUCGGGAUCAUCAGGUCGGUCGUGCCUCCGGUAUGUACUGGUCUCGGUGGUUCCUCCUUCUUGUAGAACCGUAAUGCCAUUAAUUUGGUGUUGCGGGAAAACAGGACUGUUACUUUGAAAAAUUAGGGUGUUUAAAGCAGGCGAUCGCUUGAAUACAUUAGCAUGGAAUAAUGAAAUAGGACGUUCGAUCCUAUUUUGUUGGUUUCUAGGAUCGACGUAAUGAUUAAUAGGGAUAGUUGGGGGCAUUAGUAUUCAAUUGUCAGAGGUGAAAUUCUUGGAUUUAUUGAAGACUAACUACUGCGAAAGCAUUUGCCAAGGAUGUUUUCAUUAAUCAAGAACGAAAGUUAGGGGAUCGAAGACGAUCAGAUACCGUCGUAGUCUUAACCAUAAACUAUGCCGACUAGGGAUCGGAUGAUGUUAAUUUUUUAAUGACUCAUUUCGGCGUCCUU
This 520-nucleotide ribosomal RNA is filed under the name uncultured Glomus. Its description in RNAcentral is "SSU rRNA". It matches the Rfam family "Eukaryotic small subunit ribosomal RNA", at positions 569 to 1090 of the family's 1831-position model. The record is from RNAcentral. Lineage: Eukaryota; Fungi; Glomeromycota; Glomeromycetes; Glomerales; Glomeraceae.